RNAcentral lists this ribosomal RNA (405 nucleotides) under uncultured bacterium. RNAcentral describes it as "partial 16S ribosomal RNA". It matches the Rfam family "Bacterial small subunit ribosomal RNA", at positions 28 to 526 of the family's 1533-position model. The record is from RNAcentral.
GACGAACGCUGGCGGCGUGCUUAACACAUGCAAGUCGAGCGGCGCGGCGAACGGGUGAGUAACGCGUGAGUAACUGCCCCCCUCUCUGGGUUAACAGUUGGAAACGGCUGCUAAUACCGGAUAGUGGGGGAUGACUCGCGUCCUAUCAGCUUGUUGGUGGGGUAGGGGCCCACCAAGGCGACGACGGGUCGCCGGCCUGAGAGGGCGCCCGGCCACAAUAGGCUAGGAUAGGGACCAAACGCGAACGGGAGGCAGCAGUGGGGAAUAUUGCACAGUAGGGGAAAGCCAGAGGCAGAAGCGCCGGGUGCGGGAUGCCGGCCUUCGGGUUGUAAACCGGUUUCAGCCAUGACGCGGUAGUGGCAGAAGAAGCACCGGCUAACUACGUGCCAGCCGCCGCGGUAAUAC